This 426-nucleotide long non-coding RNA is filed under the name Salvia miltiorrhiza (redroot sage). Its description in RNAcentral is "long non-coding RNA (SMIL_LNC013327)". Lineage: Eukaryota; Viridiplantae; Streptophyta; Magnoliopsida; Lamiales; Lamiaceae. The record is from RNAcentral.
AUCACCACGAGAAUCUGGGUUCGGCGCGAUUUCUGGAGCAUGAAGCAUGCUAGGGCGCACGGCAUACGGCCGCCGCAUUUGCCGCCUGUUUUUUGCUGGGAUUACCGCCUGCUCCGGCGGCGUUCGAGGUUUUGCUCAAACGACCCUAGGGGAAAGAGGAAAUACUUGGUCCGUGCAUAUCAAACAUGGAAAUGAAGCAGCGCUGUGCGACAACCUUCGCCAGAAUCAUAUCGUCGAGGGGUUUUUCCGAUUUGAGAGCUCAAAUGCUUCGGCGUAUUACUGAUUCGAUCAAGGCCAAGAUCUCCGCACCUACCACUGGCAGGUGGAAUAUGGUGCUUCCCCUGCCCGGGCCGUCCACGACUUUUAUCUCGCCAGCGGCUAAGCCAUGAACUGGGUCAUUGCUCGAUUUCAUCCGACGCUGCGUCG